AUUGAACGCUGGCGGAAUGCUUUACACAUGCAAGUCGGGCGGCAGCACGGGGGCAACCCUGGUGGCGAGCGGCGAACGGGUGAGUAAUACAUCGGAACGUACCCUGUCGUGGGGGAUAACGAAUCGAAAGAUUCGCUAAUACCGCAUACGACCUGAGGGUGAAAGCGGGGGAUCGCAAGACCUCGCGCGAUAGGAGCGGCCGAUGUCGGAUUAGCUAGUUGGUAGGGUAAAGGCCUACCAAGGCGACGAUCCGUAGCGGGUCUGAGAGGACGGCCCGCCACACUGGGACUGAGACACGGCCCAGACUCCUACGGGAGGCAGCAGUGGGGAAUUUUGGACAAUGGGGGCAACCCUGAUCCAGCCAUUCCGCGUGAGUGAAGAAGGCCUUCGGGUUGUAAAGCUCUUUCGGCAGGAACGAAACGGCGGGCUCUAACAUAGCCUGUCAAUGACGGUACCUGAAGAAGAAGCACCGGCUAACUACGUG
Molecule: ribosomal RNA, 484 nt
Filed under: uncultured bacterium
Lineage: Bacteria
Description: bacterial SSU rRNA
Rfam family: Bacterial small subunit ribosomal RNA
Source: RNAcentral